ACGCGUCAUACACCUGCACCCGGGAGGAAAGGCGAGGCUCUGCAUCUAGAUUUACCUCGUUCUCUUUUGUCUCCGCUUUUUUUUCACAUUUCCUUGCGACCCUGGCCCUUGAGCGACAAAAAGGGGAAGCCAAGGCUGGCCCGAGGAACGGAGAGGGCACAUGGCCUAGCCACAAGUGGAGCUUCUGCUCCGCCCGAAGGGAUGCGCUGGAGCGGCCUCUUCCUUCUGCCACGGUCUUUCUUUGCCAACUAGUAGGUGAGGGCCGAAAGGCCGCGGGCCGUGGAGCUCGGGCCGGGGAGACUCUUUUCUAGCCUCUUGGGUCCCGCUCCUCCCAAUUCCCUGGAGAGGCGUCGAGCUUGCUGGGAAGUGCCCUCGGGUAAGGGGCGCGGAGCCUCCUGCGGCGAUCCUCUGUCUUCGGGUCGCCUUAGCAGGACGCGGCAAGCGGGACACUGACCUGGCCGGAGUCCCGCGUUCUCUCACCAGCUGCUUUGUCCACGAGUUGCUGCUGGGCGUCAGGGGUCCCACGGCCCGGAGGGAUCUAGAGCAGGGGGGCUCGGGGUCCUUUCCAUACCCUCGGAUCCUCUCCCACUCUCUCCACGCCUCGACCCGGAGAUGAUUUCAGGCUCCAGAUCUCUUUCAUAAAUGGAAAGAGUUUUUUUGGUUUGUUUUGUCUUAAUUAUGUAGGUGUUGCAUGCUUGGAAGAGAAAAUUUAGAAAAUUAAUUGGAAAACCAUAAAGAUAGCUUUCUCGUGAUAGCCACAAGGCUUGCUCCCUCAUUCUGCUCAUAUGUCACCCCCUCAAGGAGGCCUUCCCCAGCUCUGUAAACAACCUGUGCUCGGCGUUAACUUUUCUCCCUAAUGUUUAUCACUACCUGACAUAUACGUGUUUCCCACGACUCAACGAUAAGUGUUCAUGAGGGCAGACACUUUUUAAUGCCCUAUGACAAGCACCUAGAAUUGUGCCUGGCACAUGGUAGAUGCUUAGUAAAUAUUUGUUUAAUGAAUGAAGGUAAAAAACAUUUCUAAUACGACCAUCCAGGAAUAAGUACUAUUCAUGUUUUAGUGUGUUCUUACAGUUUUACUGUUCAGACAGUUAUAUGCCUGUGAAUAUAUAUUAUAUAUGUGUGUAUAUAUAUAUAUAUAUAUAUAUAUAUAUUUUUUUUUUUUUUUUGAGACAGAGUCUCGCUCUGUCACCCAGGCUGGACUGCAGUGGCGCGAUCUUGGCUCACUGCAACCUCCGCCUCCUGGAUUCAAGCGAUUCUUCUGCCUCAGCCUCCCGAGUAGCUAGGAUUACAGGCAUGUGUCACCACGCCCGGCUAAUUUUGUAUUUUUAGUAGAGACGGGGUUUCUCCGUGUUGGUCAGGCUGGUCUCGAACUCCUGACCUCAGGUGAUCUGCCCGCCUCGGCCUCCCAAAGUGCUGAGAUUACAGACGUGAGCCACCGUGCCUGGCGGAAUUUUCAUAUUUUAAGUCCCCCACCCUUGGACAUUUAGAUUUUUUCCAUCUUUCUGUAUUUGCAGAUAUGCUUCUACGUACACCUUUAUUCAUUUGCUUGAACAUUUCCCUGAGAAAAACUAGAAAUGGAAUUGCCAGAUUACUUUGUGUACAUGUUUCCAAACUGUCCUCCAGAAAGAAUGUAAUGCUUUGAACUUCCACUUGAGAAUCAAAUGUUUACCUUCCUCUGUUCCUCCAGAUUUGGACAUUUACAGUGUUCAGCCGUUGUUGUGGCAUUCCAAUUCAAUUGGGAAACAGCUUGAUGUAGCGUCCCCAUAAGGUCCACAGUAAUUAAAUUUUUUUUUUUUUUUUUUGGUGCGGUAGUGCAAUUUCAUGGCUCACUGCAACCUCCACCUCCCAGGUUCAAGCGAUCCUCCCAUCUCAGCCUCCCUAGUAGCUGGGAUUACAGGUGCACGCCACCACACCAGGCUAAUUUUUGUAUUUUUAGUAGAGAUGGGGUUUCACCAGGUUAGCCAGGCUGGUCUUGAACUCCAGACCUCAAGGGAUCCGCCUGCCUCAGCUUUCCAAAGUGCUGGGAUUACAGGUGGAGACUGGACCUCAGAAGAGGGAGUGGGUGCCCCGAGAACUCACAGCUAGCGGACAGUGGAAAGGGCAGGAGCCGGACCAAGUGUUCAUCCAUCGCCCUGUAUUAGCGAAGAACAACAUCAAGCUGGCUAGCAAGGAACUGUAUACAGGGUCCAGCUGGGUAUCACACUGGAUCUCACCCAAAGCUUAGAUGUGAUCCAGCUCAGUAUCACAAAGCAGAACGAAAAGGAUGUGUUUGGGCUGAGAGGCCAUACAUUGGCUCCGGCAUGACGGGUGACUUCUUCCGAGUCUGGCUUCUGCAGCACACAGGGCUUCGCCAGCACCCAGCUCCUGCAGCAUGGGCAGCUCCUGUGACAGCAGGCGCCCGCAGCCUGCAAAGCGUCUCCAGUGCCGCCGCCUCAGUGAACCUCAACCAGCGGCACCUAGCAGCUUUCUCUGCCACCCUCUUCAGGUCUGGAUCUAAGCCCAGGGACCAGGAAACCUCUUGCUUGAGUGCUGGAACUCAGGCCAGAAGGCAGGAAGCCCGCCUGACCCCAUGUCUCAGGCUGCCAGAGGAGCGUGCGAUGAGGAAGGCUGGACUGUCUUCACAGGACACCAGGGAGAAGCCUCAAGCCACUGCCCCCUGACAAGUCGCAGCUCUCCAGCCUGUCUCCUCACUCCCCUCCCCUCCACAUGGGGGGGUUGGGGUGGGGGCGGGGAAGGUUCGGGGCAGGGGUCAUUUCAGCUACUGGGCACCAGUCUCCUCCUCAUGUUUAUCCUGUUCCCUUUGCUUGAAAGGUUCGUACUCCAGAUCCUUGUAAAACCGCUUCUCACCCUUUGAGUCUCAGCUUAAAUGUCCCCUCCUUGGAGGGGUCUUCCCUGACAAUGAAGCUCCGACCGUCCUCUCCUGUUUUACCCAGUUCAUUUCUUUCUGGCAUUUGUAACUACUUGAAGUUAAAGUGUGUGCCAUGUAUGUGUCUGUCAGUUUCCCCCACCACACUGGAACCCCAUGAGGGCAAGGGUCUUGUCUGGAAUCUUCCUCACUUACAACUCAACAUUUAGCAAAGGACCUUUGCUAAAUUAACAGGCAUUCAUUUUGUAUUUGAAAAAUGAACUAGUGAGGCCGGGCGUGGUGGCUCACACCUGCAAUCCCGGCACUUUGGGAGACCGAGGCGGGCUUGAGGUCAGGAGUUCGAGACCGGCCUGGCCAACAUGGUGAAACCCCAUUAAAAAUACAAAAAUUGGCUGGGCGCGGUGGCUCACGCCUGUAAUCCCAACACUUCGGGAGGCUGAAGCGGGCGGAUCACGAGGUUAGGAGUUCAAGACCAGCCUGACCAACAUAGUGAAACCCCAUCUCUACUAAAAAUACAAAAAUUAGCCGGGCAUGAUGGCAGGCGCCUGUAAUCCCAGCUACUCGGGAGGCUGAGGCGGAAGAAUCGCUUGAACCAGGAGGUGGAGAUUGCCGUGAGCUGAGAUCACGCCACUACACUCCAGCCUGGGCAACAGAGCACGAAUCCAUCUCCGAAAAACAAACAAAAAAACGAAUGUGUGAGGAACGCAGCAAAGCCCCUACAGUUAACGUUUGCCGCCCUCUGCCCCUCAG
RNAcentral lists this long non-coding RNA (3619 nucleotides) under Homo sapiens (human). RNAcentral describes it as "HSALNT0226866". The record is from RNAcentral. Lineage: Eukaryota; Metazoa; Chordata; Mammalia; Primates; Hominidae.